GCGGGUGUAGCUCAGGGGUAGAGCAUUACCUUGCCAAGGUAAGGGUCGGGCGUUCGAAUCGCCUCACCCGCUCCA
This 75-nucleotide transfer RNA is filed under the name Roseivivax halodurans JCM 10272. RNAcentral's name for it is "tRNA-Gly". It matches the Rfam family "tRNA". From Rfam's summary of the family: Transfer RNA (tRNA) molecules are approximately 80 nucleotides in length. Their secondary structure includes four short double-helical elements and three loops (D, anti-codon, and T loops). The record is from RNAcentral. Lineage: Bacteria; Pseudomonadati; Pseudomonadota; Alphaproteobacteria; Rhodobacterales; Roseobacteraceae. RNAcentral also lists the same sequence under 2 other names.